GGGCGUCGGCGGGUGCGGUGCUGCUCGCCGCCCAACUCUGACUCUGACGUCUUGGUUCCCGCAG
RNAcentral lists this microRNA precursor (64 nucleotides) under Cricetulus griseus (Chinese hamster). Its description in RNAcentral is "miRNA (ENSCGRG00001003963.1)". Lineage: Eukaryota; Metazoa; Chordata; Mammalia; Rodentia; Cricetidae. The record is from RNAcentral.